This is a long non-coding RNA of Dicentrarchus labrax (European seabass), 6884 nucleotides long. RefSeq lists it as uncharacterized. The record is from RefSeq and is a predicted model, not a curated record. NCBI's taxonomy places the organism in Eukaryota, Metazoa, Chordata, Actinopteri, Moronidae. The transcript is spliced from 4 exons.
AUCACCUGUGGAGUCAUUUCAGCAGACAACAUUAACGCAGACAUGGCUCAUGGAUAUCUGAUACGGAAAACUGCGCAGGUUGGAUCGGGAAAUUCCGAUACGUGAAUUACGCUCAUAAUGGUCCCGAUACCGAUACUGGAUCGGAUCCGCCCCAUCCCUAGUAAAUAUGCAACUGUUUGUGAUCAAGUUGUUAUAUCCAGUCAAGGCUUUACAGUCUGUACAGCAUAGGACACCCUCUGUCCUUAGACAUAAGAUGAUGGAUAAGGAAAGAAAAACCUGAACAGUAAAAAAAUGGAAGAUACCUCAAAAGGACCAAAAGGGGAGGGAUCUCUCUCUCCCACGGAGGACAGACAUGCAAUAGUUUUUCAUGUGUUUGUGUACAGAGCAAUCCAACAGUAUGGACAACCAGGAAAUUGACAAUCAGGAAACAUAUAUGAUGAAUGGAUCCAGGAGAAUGAAGAGCAACUUCCAUGCAUCGCCAAACAGACCCAUGACCUCCUCUCCACCAUGGAGACCUGGAAGAUGACAGACUACACAGACACACAAGGGUAAAACUUAAGCACACCAUUCACACAGUGAGAAGAAAGGGACAGAGACAGAGACAGAGAGAGAGACAGAGGGAGAGAGAGAGAGAGAGACAGAGAGAGAGAAGACACAAAAUCUACAGAGGGUUGGACAGAAAAAGUGUUUUUCAGAAAAUGUACCGUAUUCUCAUCUGCAGGAUAAACACGGACUGUAAGCAGUAGAUUCACUGUAUUCACAUAAUGGUAACAGGUUCUAGGUCAUCAACAAUAGGCAGUAAACUGAAAGUGAAGGCAAACAGAGGAGUUUUUCAGCUUGUUCACACCACCCGUGUCUGCGUGGUGGAACGUCUUGAAUUUGAUUUCAGCUCCCAUGAUAACACCGCCUCACGUACACUCAGCUGCGUCUGCAGUGAAGCUUCACUAGAGAGUCAAGGUCUCGCCUAUUUUUACUGCAAGCCACACGCGUCUCCCAGCAAAAGGAUCUGUUGGUAGACAUAUCCACAUAUUUCACUGCAGUUUAAACUUCCUUUUCAAAGUAAAAGCAUCUUUUAAUCUUUUACUUUAACACGACUUCACUUGUGAAAGAAUUUCCAGAAGUGAGCCUUAUGAAGGGCAGUAUCCGUGAUUCACGAGUCGAAUAGAGAUGAAUACAGAGCAGAUAUUACAUAUUAUAUUUAUCGCUGACCCUGAGCACCCAACUGCUUCUUCUGUCACAUAAUUCUACAAUAUCAGAAAAAGAGGACUAGAUAGUACCUUGUUUACCAUGUAAGGAAGUCAAUGGAUAAGGGAACAUGGAAGGUCGACAAUUUGUUGUGGCCAUCCAUUGUUGAUGAGGCCUAUUUUCAGCAUUCAACUAAUUUGCAAGGAUAAGCAAUUAAGAGAUGUCUUUGUCCCACAUGCUGUGUUUUGUGUUUGCAGGCACUGAAUAGGUUUUCCUCCAGUCCUUGCUCUCCUAAGAUCUGUGACAGCCCGUUGUCUGGCUCGGACUGCUGCUCUCUGAUCCACUGGCUAAACACGUUCACACAUCCAAUGUGCUGUGUUCACAGCUGCUCUGGUGUAGCCACAUAGAAAAUUGGCUCUGAUCAGCGAGGCCUGAAAAGGUUCAGAAGUUGAGAUGUGUCCAAAAACACAGGUCUCCUUGAGGCUGUCUGCCACCAUCCAAGCCAAGCUUUUAUUGAUUUGUGGCAUUAUCUUUCGUGCUUUGCUUGACAUUUGUAGGGCAUGGUCAAGUGUAAAACACAAAAACCAAAACUGACGGAUACGCAUUUGGACACACACAUACACUCACACUGACCAUAUGCCCUUAUCCUCUAUUUUCAUGCUUCUAAGAGGAGUCAACACAGUAGAUAAGGAUGCUGCCCUCACACAACGUCAUGUUAGUUGCUGCAUAAUAGAAAGUCUUAACACAUGUCUACACUUCAAAGACACACCAUACAUGCAUAUACACAAACACAUGUGCACACCCAAAAUAUGCACACUAACCCACCCACUCACACUUUUCAGAAGCCGCUGUGCCAGCCUUGUGUGGGCUGUGCAGCCUAAAGCUGUUUCUGCAUCCUCAGGCUCCUCAGUCCAAACCCCAGCCUCUUCCUCUGAUUUUUUGCAUCCAUCCAAAACGCAGAUAACCCCAAAGCACCCAUUUCAAGGAUACAAAAGUUGGGAGAUUUUUGCAGUAAUGUACAUGUCAGAACUGCAACCUGAAAGCUUUUACUCUUAAAUUUAAGACUUGAAUAAGCAUCCUUCAUUCAAUAUGUGGCCCACUGAGCAUGAGCAGUCGGGGGUUCAGUGUGCCACCUCAACAAUAGUUGCUGACGUUGUACUUGAAGUGAGCUGUUGGGGUCUUUUUAAAGAGGGAGAGAUUGUUUGAGUGUUUGCUCUGGUUUUGGAAAGGAAAGUGUGAGAGCUAGUAUUUAUUUAGGUGUGUGUUUAGCCUUGUAUGCAAUGAUUCCUCUGCAAUGAUUGCCUUCCUUACUGUUUUCUCUGGGAGGUUUGCUGUGUGCCAAGCCAAGGUGAGUAUCAUUUUAUUUGCAAAUAAAUUCUUGCAAGAAUUUGGGCAUAUUCUCAAUGUGAUUUGACCAGUUGUGGACUUGUGACUGAAGGUUACAUCUGUUUAUAUAGUUGAUGGAAUAUGUUGUAGUAAUAAACAUAGUUAAGGCUAGUCAUAUUUAGCAGUGUAGGGGUUACACUACUAUUUAAUUAGAAAGGUAAUUAAUCACUGAAGAUUAAUAAUACACUCGUAAAUGGGGCACCACCUCCGUUGUUUAGCUACUGGAGUAAUCCGGAGGAAAUUAUUCUACAGAUCUAAUCAAAUCAAUUUCAAAUCAAUUUAUUAAAUUUCAAAAUCUAUAUUUAAUCUCAUAUUUCUGAAGUAGUGAUUUCUUUUACACGAUUCAUCGAUUUCCCCGCAUCAAAUCAAAUCAAACCGGCAUCGACAAGGACAUACCGUUAUAUUGUUUAUUAACUAAACUAAUGCAGAGUAAAUAGCAUGAAAUGAUAAGGCAAACAAACAACAACAAGUAACAGAAUAUGUGGACAAUAUAUGAAUUAUUACUAUUAGGUGAUUCAGGAGCGAUGGUGGAUUUUGCGAUGCGGCAGUAAGUUUAAAAUAUUACGAGAGUAAAUUUUAGAACUGAUUUCUCUUAAACUUAAAAGAUGGGAAUCAAAGCUUACAGACAGACAACAGCCCUUUUUUAUGUGUGUGAAUCCGGCCGGAUCAGAAGAGUAAGAGAGAGAGGGAGAGACCGGAGUCUAUCUCUUAUAUCUUUUAUUCUGGAGGCGGAACUGGACGAGAGGAGCUGACCGCACGCGCCACUUCCUUUAGCGAUAUUUUGAUAUUUGUAACUUUAUAAUUUAUUCCUAUCGUGUUUUAAAGUUUCGAGAUCAUAAUUCACCGUUCACAGAACCCACCAUGACUUAAUACAUAGUUCACAUGUUUUAACAUAACAUAACUGAAAGUACUUAAUGUAAAGGAAAAGUGGAACUGAUUAAAAUCAUUAAAUCAUUAAUCAUCAAACAUGUAUAUAAAGCAGCACUGAGGGAUUGUACAUAUUUCGUAUAGUGCUAGCUUAAUCCUUGUUACAAAAAUUAUGUAUCAGGCAUUUACUAUUUGGAAUAAUACACAAUUAUGAAACAAAGUUCGUUUUGAAAGUCCUCUUACAACUAUACCAGAACCUUACCAAAAGGUGGCACUGUGGCUCCAUCAAACAUUCAGACAUUUUACACAUGAUUUUGUAACUUAGUCCAAUCAGAGGACAGAAACAUCAGACAAACAUUACACUUGCGACCUUCUCAUGCUGGAUGGCAAUCUGUUAAUUAGGAGGAGAUGAAAUUUUACCAUAAUACUCCAACAGAACUAAAUCUAUAUCCGUGCAACUGUUGUUACUGCUUCCUAGAUUGGAAUGUCCACUAUCAAAAGAAAACAUCGUAAUUUACACUUUAGAGGAGGGGGUGUCAGAAUGCCAGAUGUGGAUUCCAGAGGAGUUUCUCUCUGGAGGUGGACCUGUCAGACUAAAAGAGAUGUAAACACAUUUCAGGGAUAUCUAACCCUGAUUUACACAGUCUCACCUCCCCUCCUGGGUCAAAAAGGUCAAAGGGAAAGAGGAGGCCUUGAAAACUCUCCUGGUGGAACAUAAUCAAAAUAAUAUGACGUUGUACUUGAAGUGAGCUGUUGGGGUCUUUUUAAAGAGGGAGAGAUUGUUUGAGUGUUUGCUCUGGUUUUGGAAAGGAAAGUGUGAGAGCUAGUAUUUAUUUAGGUGUGUGUUUUGCCUUGUAUGCAAUGAUUCCUCUGCAAUGAUUGCCUUCCUUACUGUUUUCUCUGGGAGGUUUGCUGUGUGCCAAGUCAGAUUCAACAAACUAUUUGAACAAACAUGUCAUAAAUCGUUUCAACCUGAUGAAUACUGUUGUUUCGUGAGGAGGUGAUCUGAUCAUUAACAUAAUGGACGCCCCCACAUUGCUCUUAGGCUACUUAUCUCACCUCAUUUGUGGACAAGUUGCAAUUAACAAGAAUUACUUUUUUUUUAAAUUAUUAAAAACUAGUUUAGCUCUUCAUUUUUAUUUUAGCUGAUUUCUGUAACUGUGACGAGGCCCACUGCUCUGCUGUCUGCUUUACAGAUACUGGGGUUGGCUGGUGGGUGGAGCAAGGAGGUCGUGUGCCUUACCUGCCCAUCUGGGUGAGGCUCCCAGAAAGGUAUAGAAGAUGCCCUUUUGGGAGUCUCACUCUCUGGCUAAAUGGUAAAUGGACCUGUACUUGUAUCGUGCCUUUCUAGUCUUCCGACCACUCAAAGUGCUUUUAUACUACAUGCCACAUUCACCCAGCAAUGGCUAAGCACAUCAAACAGAAACUUACGCAUUCAUACACAUUCACAGGAAUUCGGGGUUCAGUAUCUUGCUCAAGGAUGCUUCAACACAUGGCGGAAGGAGCCGUAUGAUCAAAGUUUAUACGUUGUAGGGUUUGCAUUAGUUAUUCCUCUUUUUGGGAUCUGUUGUAUUGCCAGCCUUUAGGAAUAUCAUUUCAAUAUCUUAAUUGUUCUUCAGUCACAGAUGAAGAUUCAGAAUGAUAUUUCCAAGUAGGUUUUCAAAUACAAGGAAUUUGCCUCUGUAUAUUGGUGCAUAACAAUAAACACAGGACAAGGAAGAGAGGACUGCAAGUCAAGAAGCAUAAAUAGAAAAAUAGAAAAUUAACAAUAAUUUAUGAAAAAAUAAUAUAAAGACAAUAAUAGACAAUCUGCAGAAUAUGGCUGUUAUUUUAAAUAGAAAAUGUACAGUUUGUGCAGGAAUGUGCAAAAGUUUACAGUAUUAAGUAUAAAGAAUAUCUGCAAUGUCCAGAAGAUUAUGAUAUGUACAGUAGUAGGUUUGUAUAACUGGUAGUCUGUUAAUGAACCUUGGCAAUGAAGUCAUAGUUUUCACUGUGUUGUGUAUCACCUAUAUGAAAUAACACAGUUAGAAUGCAGGUACAGUUUUAUAUUUUGAUUUAAUUACUUUUUUGAUUGACAUAUUUGUGUGUGGCCUCCCUUUUUAUUGCCAGCCUUGAACUGUUACAUAAUUCAAUUAAUUCCUAUUAAAGCAUUAUGGAGGACCAAUUGUUAGAAAUGGAAUAUAAUAUUCAUAGGUAUGUUUUCAUUAGUGUAUAAUCACUGUUACCUUAGAAUGAGCUGUUUUCGUCCCCCACCAUUGUGCCCCCAUGUUCAAAGAAGCACCUCCUAUGGUAGAUAAAACAUGUCAAAGCUGCAAGUCGGGAUACCCUCUAGGGGUCCUCAAAGCUUUAGGGGGGAAAAUAAAAAUGUAAUUUAAAUUUCUAAAGUUAAGAUAAUUAUUUUAUAUAUUAUUUAACAUAUUAACUUUAACGACCUGAACACAAGCUAUAUUCACAGAACAUUUACUCUCUGAUAAACAGCCUCAUCCAGCAUUUUAAAAGUAUGCACACUCUAAAAAGUAACUCAGUGGCCCUAUUAUCACCACUUAAUUAAAUGCAUGGUUGCAAGUUAAAAAUUCUAAUAUAUUGAUUUAGAUCGACCUUUUAAGUUGCAAAAAAUGUCUUGAGUUGUGUUGAUAUAAUAAUGUUGGUAAUUACGUCAACUUAAUAUUGUGAGUAAUUUGAACUAACAUUUCUGCAUUAAUUGGUUCAAAACAAAAGUCAAGUUGUAUUAACUUAAUAUAAUUUGCUUGAUAACUUAAUUUUUCUCCACCUUGAGUUCAGCAUUUCAAGUCCCCUCCCCUACCCACCCACCUAUCACAUGCAUGGGCAAAUUCAGACAGUUGAGACUCUGUGUUAGCAAAUACGAUCUACAAAGGACAUUUUUGAGAUAAAUAAAGAAUUCCAGAGAAAAUGGCCAGACUUGACCAUUGCACAACAAAAAUGAUGGAUGUAGUCUCAUCAAGGACAGGAGCUACAGGAGUGACAAUCAGACAUAUAAAAGACAUGCUUCUCCAGCCCAAUACAACUGAAGUACACGGAGGAAGGAAAAGGACCGUUUUCAAGGAGUUCAGAGUAAGUAAAUCAACAUCUUGAAAGAAAAAGGAAAUCUACAUUGUGCAGUGACACAGAAGCGUUUGAGGCAGGCCUCAAUAGACAACUGAUGAAAACUACUGCCAUCGCCCCAGAAUCUGACCAUAUGACAGCAAUCAUCAUGGUCGAGGGAACCAAAAUCCUGGAGAGAAAGGCUAUCACAAGGUGCUGCGCUUUGCUGACGGGAAUCUGAGCUAUUGGAACUUAAAUGUACAUUGAUAGUGACAGUCUGCUGCUGUUUGUUACAGUUUUUUGUAAAAUUUAUCUAAAAGGUCUUUCCUAUAAUGUUUUUUUAAAUAUUGUGUGCUCAAACACUGUUAAACUGCAGUUCAAAAUAAAAACAGUUAAUUGCCAAA